UACGUAGGGGGCAAGCGUUGUCCGGAUUUAUUGGGCGUAAAGCGCUCGCAGGUGGUCCGCUGCGUCGUGCGUGAAAGACCCCGGCUCAACUGGGGGAUGUCGUGCGAUACGGGCGGACUGGAGGCCAGUAGGGGGAUGCGGAAUUCCGGGUGUAGCGGUGAAAUGCGCAGAUAUCAGGAGGAACACCGGUGGCGAAGGCGGAUCUCUGGGCCUUGCCUGACGCUGAGGCGCGAAAGCUAGGGGAGCGAACAGG
This 253-nucleotide ribosomal RNA is filed under the name uncultured bacterium. RNAcentral describes it as "partial 16S ribosomal RNA". It matches the Rfam family "Bacterial small subunit ribosomal RNA", at positions 524 to 776 of the family's 1533-position model. The record is from RNAcentral.